UGAUUUAAGCGGUUGUCGCAAAGAAAACGCAAGGAAGAAGAAGAAGUGCGUGCACUACACGCAGGCGCGUGAGGGCCGCGACUGGGCGUGCUCCUGGCGCGUGGGACAGACACACCGAGGAUGUGAGGGCGCGUGAAGCAUCAUUUCGGUUCCCGGUCUAAUUGGAAGGAAUUGUGUUGAAAUACC
Cucurbita moschata (crookneck pumpkin) is the source of this 186-nucleotide long non-coding RNA. RefSeq lists it as uncharacterized. NCBI's taxonomy places the organism in Eukaryota, Viridiplantae, Streptophyta, Magnoliopsida, Cucurbitales, Cucurbitaceae. The record is from RefSeq and is a predicted model, not a curated record. The transcript is spliced from 3 exons.